GGUGAACGUUGGCGGUGCGUCUAAUACAUGCAAGUCGAGCGAGGCUUCGAGCCGAGCGGCAGCCGGCUGAGUGACACGUUGGUAACUACCUCAAACUCAGGGAUAACUCCGAGAAAUCGGUGCUAAUACCGGAUGAUCCCGUAAGGGUAAAGUUUUUACGGUUUGAGAGGUGCCUGCGUCCUAUCAGGUAGUUGGUGAGGUAACGGCUCACCAAGCCUAUGACGGGUAACUGGUCUGAGAGGAUGACCAGUCAGAGGGAAACUGCGACACGGUUCCCACUUCUACGGAAGGCAGCAGUAAAGAAUCUUCCAAAAUGGACGGAAGUCUGAUGGAGCGACACCGCGUGAAGGAUGAAGGCCCUUGGGAAGUAAACUGCUUUUUUGGGGGAAAAAUUCUGAUUGAACCCUAAGAAUAAGAACCGGUAAAUCACGU
This 432-nucleotide ribosomal RNA is filed under the name uncultured bacterium. RNAcentral's name for it is "partial 16S ribosomal RNA". It matches the Rfam family "Bacterial small subunit ribosomal RNA", at positions 28 to 506 of the family's 1533-position model. The record is from RNAcentral.